CAAAGUAAACACAUCUAACCCCUGAUCAGUAUCAAUAUAAUUUUUUAUAUAUUCGAGCAAAAAAGCUGAUGGAAUGGUUUCAACCCCAUUCUUUUCCUUUUUGUGCUUGUCUAUCUCUUCAACCUCUACUUGCAUGAUCUUGGCUAACUUUUUUCUGUAUCCGACAGUCUUAUGCUCUUUCCAAUAGAUAUUAUCUUGAUUGGUAGACUCUAUUCGGAGUAAAGAAGAAUAUUCUUCAAUCGUGGGGGCCAAGUCUUCUUGGUUGAAUACAAAGCAUCGAUAAGAUAGAUCCCAAAAUUGUAUUGUGGCUCUCAUCAGUU
This 320-nucleotide long non-coding RNA is filed under the name Durio zibethinus. RNAcentral describes it as "long non-coding RNA (DZIB_LNC001318)". The record is from RNAcentral. Lineage: Eukaryota; Viridiplantae; Streptophyta; Magnoliopsida; Malvales; Malvaceae.